Molecule: ribosomal RNA, 499 nt
Filed under: uncultured bacterium
Lineage: Bacteria
Description: partial 16S ribosomal RNA
Rfam family: Bacterial small subunit ribosomal RNA
Source: RNAcentral
GACGAACGCUGGCGGCGUGCCUAAUACAUGCAAGUCGAGCGAAGUUUUUCUGGUGCUUGCACUAGAAAAACUUAGCGGCGAACGGGUGAGUAACACGUAAAGAACCUGCCUCAUAGACUGGGACAACUAUUGGAAACGAUAGCUAAUACCGGAUAACAGUACUUCUCGCAUGGGAGAUAUUUAAAAGUUGGUUAUGCUAACACUAUGAGAUGGCUUUGCGGUGCAUUAGCUAGUUGGUGGGGUAAAGGCCCACCAAGGCGACGAUGCAUAGCCGACCUGAGAGGGUGAUCGGACAGACGGGGACUGAGACACGGCACAGACUCCUACGGGAGGCAGCAGUAGGGAAUCUUCCGGAAUGGGGGAAAGCCUGACGGAGCAACGCCGCGUGAGUGAAGAAGGAUUUCGGUUCGUAAAGCUCUGUUGUUAGGGAAGAAUGGAUAUGUAGUAACUAUACAUGUAAGAGACGGUACCUAACCAGAAAGCCACGGCUAACUACGUG